RNAcentral lists this long non-coding RNA (4009 nucleotides) under Nicotiana tabacum (common tobacco). RNAcentral describes it as "long non-coding RNA (NTAB_LNC010196)". Lineage: Eukaryota; Viridiplantae; Streptophyta; Magnoliopsida; Solanales; Solanaceae. The record is from RNAcentral.
CUAAAUCUAACCCUAAACCUAAAAAUACAACUUCAGCCGCACCCAACCCCCAUCUCCAUCUUUGCCGCGUCCCAGCCACCCUAAACCCGCCAGAAAUCAACCAAAAUCCGGCACUCCACGUAAGCACUGGUCCCUUAUGGUCCCCCCUUCCCUUCGUUUCAUCUUCCACAUAGCAAAAUCCCAACGAAUCUCAUCAUUUCAAUCCGAUUCACGCGGAUUUCUUCUUCUAUUUCUUUCGUUUAAACAAAAAAUCCGGACCCUUGAAUAAAUCUGGGAAGAAUGGGAAUCGUUGGAUGAAAUUUUGUCCAAAAAUCUCAAUUUUUCCUAUUUUUAUUUGAGAAAGGGAUUUUCGGAUUUUAUCUGGUGGUCCCACAUGCUUUCUUGGAGAAGAAGGAGGAGGAAGCUUCGAGAGAGAGCUAUAUAUUUGAUGUUUUUCGGACAGAAAAAGGGGAGAAACAUUUGGAGAAUUUUUUGACAAAAAGAGCUAGGGUUUUUCGGAUUUUUGGUUGUUCCGUAAAUUUCAAUUCAUUGUAAAAUUAGAGUUUUCUUUUAGUGUUCUUUGAUUCUGUUUUGUUUCGUUUUUCAUAUAUAAAAAAAGAACAAAAAUUAUUUUCUUCUGAUUCGGAUUUUACAUCAAAGUCAGAAAAAUACAAAAAAAAAGAGUCAGUUUCUUCUUCUGGUUCUUGUUCGAAAUGGAGUUUAGCUGCGGUUCGAGGUUCGAUAUCAGUCGCCAAUCUAAAGUUCCGUCCGAGCUCCUGUCCGAUUCAUUUGCUUGUUUCUACGUUAGAAUUCUGGGAAUUGAAGCCGAGCUUCUGUUGAAUCAUAUAUUGUUACUUAAAGAGGAGUUCAACUUUACAGGUUCAUUCCCGCGUCCCUCUUAUUUAUUUGAAUUUGUUUGGAAUGGAUUGAAGUGUAAAGGAGUCAUUAAAAAAGGAUUAAAUAAGCAGUGAUUUCGAAGAUUGUGUUUAACUUCCCUCUUAUUCGAGUCUACGUUCUGUGUCGAUUGUAUGUGCGUUGAAUUUUUCCGGUGAAACCUCCUAGAUGAUAAAUGAGCAUGAACUGUUCGUAUCCCUGUUUGGUUCAGUCAGAUUGAUAUUUGAAGUAUUAGAACCAAUCGCGAUGAAACUGUGUAUUCAUUGUGUCGAGCGGAAAGUUGAUUUGUCAUUGUUUUUGCUUAUGAUUAAGUAGUCGAAGGCCUUCAGCCAUUAGAGUAGUAUGUUCUUUGACUUCAUCUCUGUUUAAGGUUUGGAGUUUCGAGUUUGGAUUUUCAUACUCUUUGAAACAUGUUUACAAAUAAAACCAUGCCUUCCAGUUAUCCAUAUCUGAAACGGAAUCACACUUUCUCAUAUGUGUUGAACUAGAAUUUCUCUGUUGUUUCCAUGACUAGACAGAAUAGUUCAGUUCACUUGGAUUUGUGAGUUGUUUUCCCAUAUAGUCAGUUCGAUCAUGAGUUAGUAAAUCAAAUAGUGUGCAUUUUAGAGAAAGGUAUGGCAUUAAUCAACUGGUAUUAGACUGCUGAUUGCGCUUAAUCUCCUGUGUUGCAAACUAAGUUUGGAUUAGUUUACUUUCAUCAUGGUCAAUCUUGGCAUGUUAAGUGUUUGAUUACCAGAACUGUAGUUUGUGUCCGCAUCAACAGUUUGCAUAAUUAUUCAGUUUAUUUGCUCAAAUGUGUGCUAGUGUACAUGAACUUUUCAUAAUAACAGGCUUGAUGUAGUGGGCAUUGGGUAUUUACUGUAUGAUUGUUUUCUUAUGCAAUGAAAAAGGGCGUUGUUUUCCGGUGUCGAAUGCAUUUUUGAGUUUACAGUGAGAAUUAGAAUAGUUAUUAAAUGGGUAAACAUGUGCUUAUGUGAUUUUAUUGGUAACGGGUAAUUGUUUGUAAAGAAAGGGAAGUAUGCAAUUAUUUGGUCUCCAAAGGGAUGGUGAGGUGGACAUGGUUGUUCUUGUCAUGCUUCAAUUCAUUUUCUUUACUGUAUUUUUCCUCUCCAUGAGCAUUGGAUGUUAUUUGUUAUUUCACUGAUUGGUUGUUGGAUAUGAAAUUGUUUGGAUAAUUGUUGGGCCGUGGGAGUAUGGAAAGACCGAAGCCCAUUAACGAUUGAUUUGUCUCCAUGCUUUAGGUGUCGGGCUCAGUCUAAUAAAAAACGAAAAGUUAAAAAGGGAAUGAACAUGAACUUAACUUUAUAUAUUUAGUUUUUAUUUGUUUUGCUUUUAUUAUAUUGCGCGCUAGGAGCAUGUUAGGCCGUCAUCAUUUGGGUAGGCAAGCUUUAGGAUUUGUGUUGGUUUCGAGGUGAGAGGUCAUUCCCUUAGUUAAAUUUAUCCGGGGAAUGCCCCAAAGGAUUUGUACAUAUUUUAUUUUGGGGAAUACCCCGUAGUAUUCUGUAACUGGAGGCCGAAAGCGAACUCGUAGUACUUUUAUUUCUAUUUCACUUUUGUAUUUAUCUUUCUUUUAUUAGGUGGGAAUGACCUCGAGCCUUUUGUGUUUUUUUUUUUGUGUUUGUUUUAGCUCAAUCUGAUUUUAAAAGCCAACUUGAUCGAGUACGCAACCGUGCUAGUUACGGGGUUCGGGGAGUGCCUAACACCUUCUCCCCGAGUCAAAUGACCCCCCUUACCCAAAUCUAUGGUGCAGAUUUAGUUUUGGAACCUAAAGUAUUUUAAAGGAAAAAAACAUUUUUUUUUAAAAAAAAACGGUGGUCUGGCACACCGAAAUCAAUGUCAGGUGGCAACUCUGAGAUAUUUCCUUUCGAACACAAAGUUUUGUCACUUUCAAAAUUGAAAAACCUUUUCAAGCUUUACUAAAUCUUUUUUUUUAUUAAUUUAAGAGGGUUUAGUGGAGUUUGUUUAAAAAAGGGGUGUGACACUUAUAUUAACUAGUUCCUACCCCAUUUAACUAGUUUUGGAUCGUUUGGCUCCAAAUUGAGAGUUUGGGCUCGUUCUUGGUAUUGGAAGAAUACUUUGGAACGAGGUAAGUCUCCUUUCUAACCUUGUAAGAGAGAAUUGUCCCCAUAGGUGUAAUACUUGAAUAAUUUGCUACUAAAUGUGGGGGCUACGUACGCACUAGGUGAUGAGAGUCCGUGCGUAACUACUAUUAUGUAAUUGUCCGGGUAGUCUAGGACCCGUAUCAUGCUAUAUCUGUGUGUCUAUAUUUUCUUGCUAAUGUGAUCACUUAGGAUAUGCUAGAGACUCGGAAAGGAAUAUAAGCGAACGUAUAUACUUGUUGAACCCUUGUAUGAAUUUAUUUGAAUAUAAAUGCUCCUUCAUGUGUUUUCUUAAUAUUAAUUGAUAUUUGUGGAUCAGGCCGAUCGCCUCGGUUGAAAUAGAUGCAUCUAUAGUUCGCGCCAUUCGACUCUUUGGCAGUGCACGGUUUAUUUCCUGUUGGAUCGGGUCGUCGACCUCGGCAUAAUGUGCACAUGAUAUCUAUGUGAAAUCUUAUCCAUGACUUGUUUUGCUAAAGAUUUGAAAUGUAAAUGGCUAACUGUAAUAUUGUUAAGAACAUGACUUAUUACCUCUUGCUACAAACUGUUGAUUAUUUGUGACUCCCAUGCUUAGCAUGACACUUUAUUAUAUCAUUUGACCCUAGUAGGUGUCAAGUCGGCCUCUCGUCUCUGCUUCUUUGAGAUUAGACGGGAUACUUACGGGGUACAUAUUGUUUAUGUACUCAUACUAUACUUUUGUACUUAAUUGUACAGGAUCUGAGGCAGGUACAUCUGUCUAUCAGUCUGGUGCGCGCCUUUGAUUCAUAGUCCGAGACUUCCACGAUGAGCUGUUCCCUUCCUGUGCCGCUCAGCAGCUUGAUGGAGUCUUCCUUUACUUUUGCUGUCUAUUCUAUUUCGGACAGUAGGAUAGAUUUAUUCUUUUGUAUAUUCUACUAGUUGCCCAUUACUUGUGAUACCGGGUCUUGGCACACACAUUAGUAGACUAUUAUUUUGGGGAUUGUGUAAUUAUUUUUGGUACAUUAUUGGUUAUUUCUUGUUUUAAUUUUAACUUAAGAAAUUGCCGCAACUGUUUUGGUAAA